UACGUAGGGCGCAAGCGUUGUCCGGAAUUAUUGGGCGUAAAGAGCUCGUAGGCGGCUUGUCACGUCGGGUGUGAAAGCCCGGGGCUUAACCCCGGGUCUGCAUUCGAUACGGGCUGGCUAGAGUGUGGUAGGGGAGAUCGGAAUUCCUGGUGUAGCGGUGAAAUGCGCAGAUAUCAGGAGGAACACCGGUGGCGAAGGCGGCUUCCUGGUCCAGCACCGACGUUCAGGCACGAAAGCGUGGGGAGCAAACAGG
This 253-nucleotide ribosomal RNA is filed under the name uncultured bacterium. Its description in RNAcentral is "partial 16S ribosomal RNA". It matches the Rfam family "Bacterial small subunit ribosomal RNA", at positions 524 to 776 of the family's 1533-position model. The record is from RNAcentral.